Molecule: ribosomal RNA, 254 nt
Filed under: uncultured bacterium
Lineage: Bacteria
Description: partial 16S ribosomal RNA
Rfam family: Bacterial small subunit ribosomal RNA
Source: RNAcentral
UACGAAGGGGGCUAGCGUUGUUCGGAAUUACUGGGCGUAAAGCGCACGUAGGCGGCUUUCUAAGUCGGGGGUGAAAUCCUGGAGCUCAACUCCAGAACUGCCCUUGAUACUGGCGGUCUCGAGUCCGGGAGAGGUGAGUGGAACUGCGAGUGUAGAGGUGAAAUUCGUAGAUAUUCGCAAGAACACCAGUGGCGAAGGCGGCUCACUGGCCCGGUACUGACGCUGAGGUGCGAAAGCGUGGGGAGCAAACAGGG